AUUAGCGAUACUCACUUAUCCCUGUAAAAAAUACGUAACUCUAUGACAGAUGAAGAAAUUUAUAUUUCAUGACAACUUGUCUAAUUAUAAUCGGCCAAAUUGAAAAAUAUAGAUAGUGAUAUAAAUAAAAAAAGGGUCAUCUUGUGGAUGGGUUAAAAGAACGGAACAAAUAGGAGUGAUGUCAGACCAGUUUUUA
Molecule: unclassified non-coding RNA, 196 nt
Filed under: Moritella viscosa
Lineage: Bacteria; Pseudomonadati; Pseudomonadota; Gammaproteobacteria; Alteromonadales; Moritellaceae
Description: putative sRNA
Source: RNAcentral